UAAUGUCUGGGAAAACGGCCUGAUGGAGGGGGAUAACUACUGGAAACGGUAGCUAAUACCGCAUAAUGUCGCAAGACCAAAGUGGGGGACCUUCGGGCCUCAUGCCAUCAGAUGUGCCCAGAUGGGAUUAGCUAGUAGGUGGGGUAACGGCUCACCUAGGCGACGAUCCCUAGCUGGUCUGAGAGGAUGGCCAGCCACACUGGAACUGAGACACGGUCCAG
RNAcentral lists this ribosomal RNA (221 nucleotides) under uncultured bacterium. RNAcentral's name for it is "partial 16S ribosomal RNA". It matches the Rfam family "Bacterial small subunit ribosomal RNA", at positions 111 to 334 of the family's 1533-position model. The record is from RNAcentral.